CUGACGUGGAACGGCUAGAGGAUUGAAUUGCCAAAUUCGAACUCUCUGAGGUUCUUCUGCAUUUUCAAAAUGCUGCAGUGGGAUUAGUUACUCAACUCGUGCUACUACCACCAUGGGCUUCAGAACACCUCUGGCAGAAAGGAAUCAAGCACAGGAGUAGAGAAGUCUUUCUUCCACUGUCUAGAUGCUGUCAGACCACACCUCCAAUAAUGCAGAAGAAUAAGAAGCUUGAACACACUCAACAGGUUGAAGAACAGCUUCUAUUCUGCUGGUAUGGGACAGAUGAAUGGACCUCCUCUAAUUUCAGUCUAAUGUUGAUCUUGCUUUGUGCAUCUGCUGUGUAGCCAAGCCCUGUAUACUUCGCUCUGUCGAAAUAACCAAUGACCUGUAUGUCCUUGCAUGUUAUGAUCUGCCUGUACUGCUCACAAAACAUGGCUUUUCACUGUAGUCAGGCUCAUGUGACAACAAUAACUCAAAUCAAAUCAUCCUGGACUGGUUGCAUACAAUACACAUGCAUGCAGUUGGAAUGGAUUCAAAAAUGAGCUUUGUCAAAUUUUGACCUUAAUAAUUUUACCUGAUGCUAGGAUCCAUUAGUAACACAUCCUAAACUCAAUUAUAUUUUUCAAAUAAAUAUAGCUUGUUAAGAAUAUAUUUUUGUUUUAGAAUAUGGCUAAGGAUGUACUAUCCUUUAACGUAAGUAAUGAAGUAAAAAUAUAGAGCUGGGAAUACAAGGUGGAAAAUUGUAAUUUUACAAAUAUUUAGAUUACACAAAAUGCAGCUACAGAAAAAUACAUUUGCAUCCAUUAGAGGUAACCUUCCCUGGUCCCUUCCUUCCCUUUCAUCAUCACAUUAAAAUGUCAUGUCAUACAAAUGCAUCAUGUGUGUUUCAACUACCUUUUUAUUCAUCUGAUCUUC
Molecule: long non-coding RNA, 915 nt
Organism: Stegostoma tigrinum
Lineage: Eukaryota; Metazoa; Chordata; Chondrichthyes; Orectolobiformes; Stegostomatidae
Exons: 4
Source: RefSeq, a predicted model, not a curated record